Molecule: ribosomal RNA, 483 nt
Filed under: Itajahya rosea
Lineage: Eukaryota; Fungi; Basidiomycota; Agaricomycetes; Phallales; Phallaceae
Description: partial large subunit ribosomal RNA
Rfam family: Eukaryotic large subunit ribosomal RNA
Source: RNAcentral
CCCUAGUAACUGGCGAGUGAAGCGGGAACAGCUCAAAUUUGUAAUCUGGCGGCCCCCCAGGCCGUCCGAGUUGUAAUCUGGAGAAGCGUUUUCAGUGCCGGCCCGCGUACAAGUCCCCUGGAACGGGGCGUCGCAGAGGGUGAGAAUCCCGUCUCUGACGCGGCCUGCCGGCGCGCUGCGAUGCGCUCUCGAAGAGUCGAGUUGUUUGGGAAUGCAGCUCAAAACGGGUGGUAAAUUCCAUCUAAAGCUAAAUACUGGCGAAAGACCGAUAGCGAACAAGUACCGUGAGGGAAAGAUGAAAAGCACUUUGGAAAGAGAGUCAAACAGUACGUGAAAUUGUUGAAAGGGAAACGCUCGGAGUCAGUCGCGUCUCCCGGGACUCAGUCGCGCUUCGGGCGCGGCGUACUUCCCGGGUCAGGACGGGCCAGCGUCGAUUUCGACCGUCGUAAAAAGGCGAGAGGAACGUGGCACCUUCGGGUGUGU